CGCUUAGAAGUGAGAAUGCCGGUAUGAGUAGCGAAAGAGGGGUGAGAAUCCCCUCCGCCGAAAGCCUAAGGUUUCCUGAGGAAGGCUCGUCCGCUCAGGGUUAGUCGGGACCUAAGCCGAGGCCGAAAGGCGUAGGUGAUGGACAACAGGUUGAUAUUCCUGUACCACCUCCUCACCGUUUGAGCAAUGGGGGGACGCAGGAGGAUAGGGUAAGCGCGCGGCUGGAUGUGCGCGUCCAAGCAGUUAGGGCUGGCAAGCAGGCAAAUCCGCUUGCCGUGUGCUUGAGCUGUGAUGGCGAGGGAAAGGAAGUACCGAAGUUCCCGAUUCCACACUGCCAAGAAAAGCCUCUAGCGAGGUGAGAGGUGCCCGUACCGCAAACCGACACAGGUAGGCGAGGAGAGAAUCCUAAGGUGAGCGAGAGAACUCUCGUUAAGGAACUCGGCAAAAUGACCCCGUAACUUCGGGAGAAGGGGUGCUCAUCAAGGUGAUAAGCCAUGAUGAGCCGCAGUGAAAAGGCCCAGGCGACUGUU
This 530-nucleotide ribosomal RNA is filed under the name Aeribacillus pallidus. Its description in RNAcentral is "partial 23S ribosomal RNA". It matches the Rfam family "Bacterial large subunit ribosomal RNA", at positions 1279 to 1804 of the family's 2925-position model. The record is from RNAcentral. Lineage: Bacteria; Bacillati; Bacillota; Bacilli; Caryophanales; Bacillaceae.